UUUUCCAGAGAUGGAUUAGUGCCUUCGGGAACACUGAGACAGGUGCUGCAUGGCUGUCGUCAGCUCGUGUUGUGAGAUGUUGGGUUAAGUCCCGCAACGAGCGCAACCCUUAUCCUUAGUUGCCAGCACGUAAUGGUGGGAACUCUGGGGAGACUGCCGGUGAUAAACCGGAGGAAGGUGGGGACGACGUCAAGUCAUCAUGGCCCUUACGGGAUGGGCUACACACGUGCUACAAUGGCGCAUACAAAGGGCAGCGAACCUGCGAAGGUAAGCGAAUCUCAUAAAGUGCGUCGUAGUCCGGAUUGGAGUCUGCAACUCGACUCCAUGAAGUCGGAAUCGCUAGUAAUCGUGGAUCAGAAUGCCACGGUGAAUACGUUCCCGGGCCUUGUACACACCGCCCGUCACACCAUGGGA
This 414-nucleotide ribosomal RNA is filed under the name Idiomarina zobellii. Its description in RNAcentral is "bacterial SSU rRNA". It matches the Rfam family "Bacterial small subunit ribosomal RNA", at positions 996 to 1409 of the family's 1533-position model. The record is from RNAcentral. Lineage: Bacteria; Pseudomonadati; Pseudomonadota; Gammaproteobacteria; Alteromonadales; Idiomarinaceae.